CCCCGCUGGGCUGCAUUGGAGCCGGGGCCCGCGGAGCCGCGACCUGACAGUACCAGAGUUGAAGGAGCCGGGACGCGCAAAGGCGCGUGGAACCCGGGAGGGGACCGGUGCCUGCGAACGGCCCGAGCAAGGUGGACUGAACUCUAAGAUUAAUCCUUCCGGAGAAGAUUAUAUUCUUGCUCUUAAGCCUGGUUUACAUAGUUCCCACUAAUCUUCAGAGAAGUCACCUCAGAGAGCAAACUUUGCACCAGUCGCUCUUUUCCGUCCUCCUUUCAAGGUCAGCACCUUCUAUAGGAUAUAUAAAAACAAACAACAGUCCUCAUCUUUCUACCGAUCAUUUUCCUGUCUGCAAAGACAUCUACUUUCGACUCUAGAUGAUGCCCUUCAUAAGGACCUCCACACUGUAAAGGGUAUGCUUAAAUUGCUAUUUAUAUUGUUUUACUUGUAAACACAAUUGUCA
This 460-nucleotide long non-coding RNA is filed under the name Ictidomys tridecemlineatus (thirteen-lined ground squirrel). RNAcentral's name for it is "lncRNA (ENSSTOG00000032454.1)". Lineage: Eukaryota; Metazoa; Chordata; Mammalia; Rodentia; Sciuridae. The record is from RNAcentral.